UACGGGGGGGGCAAGCGUUGUUCGGAAUUACUGGGCGUAAAGGGCUCGUAGGUGGCCAACUAAGUCAGACGUGAAAUCCCUCGGCUUAACCGGGGAACUGCGUCUGAUACUGGUUGGCUUGAGUGCAGGAGAGGAACGCGGAAUUCCAGGUGUAGCGGUGAAAUGCGUAGAUAUCUGGAGGAACACCGGUGGCGAAGGCGGCGUUCUGGACUGCAACUGACACUGAGAAACGAAAGCCAGGGGAGCAAACGGG
RNAcentral lists this ribosomal RNA (253 nucleotides) under uncultured bacterium. RNAcentral's name for it is "partial 16S ribosomal RNA". It matches the Rfam family "Bacterial small subunit ribosomal RNA", at positions 524 to 776 of the family's 1533-position model. The record is from RNAcentral.